GACGAACGCUGGCGGCGUGCUUAACACAUGCAAGUCGAGCGGAAAGGCCCUUCGGGGUACUCGAGCGGCGAACGGGUGAGUAACACGUGAGUAACCUGCCCUAGGCUUUGGGAUAACCCCGGGAAACCGGGGCUAAUACCGGAUAUGACCUGGUGCCGCAUGGUGUUGGGUGGAAAGUUUUUUCGGCCUGGGAUGGGCUCGCGGCCUAUCAGCUUGUUGGUGGGGUGAUGGCCUACCAAGGCGAUGACGGGUAGCCGGCCUGAGAGGGCGACCGGCCACACUGGGACUGAGACACGGCCCAGACUCCUACGGGAGGCAGCAGUGGGUAAUAUUGCACAAUGGGCGGAAGCCUGAUGCAGCGACGCCGUGUGAGGGAUGAAGGCCUUCGGGUUGUAAACCUCUUUCAGCAGGGACGAAGCGUGAGUGACGGUACCUGCAGAAGAAGCGCCGGCCAACUACGUG
This 462-nucleotide ribosomal RNA is filed under the name uncultured bacterium. RNAcentral describes it as "partial 16S ribosomal RNA". It matches the Rfam family "Bacterial small subunit ribosomal RNA", at positions 28 to 507 of the family's 1533-position model. The record is from RNAcentral.